CACGUAGGGGGCAAGCGUUGUCCGGAUUUAUUGGGCGUAAAGAGCUCGUAGGCGGUUCGGUAAGUCGGGUGUGAAAACUCUGGGCUCAACCUGGAGACGCCACCCGAUACUGCUAUAGCUUGAGUCCGGUAGGGGAGCGUGGAAUUCCUGGUGUAGCGGUGAAAUGCGCAGAUAUCAGGAGGAACACCAGCGGCGAAGGCGGCGCUCUGGGCCGGUACUGACACUGAGGAGCGAAAGCGUGGGGAGCAAACAGG
RNAcentral lists this ribosomal RNA (254 nucleotides) under uncultured bacterium. Its description in RNAcentral is "partial 16S ribosomal RNA". It matches the Rfam family "Bacterial small subunit ribosomal RNA", at positions 524 to 776 of the family's 1533-position model. The record is from RNAcentral.